AAAUUAAUGAAAAAAAUCUAUAUUAAACAAAAGUAGAGCCAAAAAAUUAACAAAGCCCAUGAUUACAAACAAAUAAAUAAAAUAUUAUCAUUAUAAAAGGUAAGAGGCAGCCCUAAUUUCUUCAUCUUCAACCUGCGCCUCUCAUAUCUUCUUUUUCAUCUUUGUUUUGUUUUUUGACUUCUGCAUAAAUACUUUUUCUUCCAGCAACACAUCAAACAUUCAAACAAAUAAAAUCCCUAAUA
This 242-nucleotide long non-coding RNA is filed under the name Salvia miltiorrhiza (redroot sage). RNAcentral describes it as "long non-coding RNA (SMIL_LNC000214)". Lineage: Eukaryota; Viridiplantae; Streptophyta; Magnoliopsida; Lamiales; Lamiaceae. The record is from RNAcentral.